This 303-nucleotide ribosomal RNA is filed under the name uncultured bacterium. RNAcentral's name for it is "partial 16S ribosomal RNA". It matches the Rfam family "Bacterial small subunit ribosomal RNA", at positions 507 to 807 of the family's 1533-position model. The record is from RNAcentral.
AGCAGUCGCCGCGGUAAUACGUAGGGUGCGAGCGUUAAUCGGAAUUACUGGGCGUAAAGCGUGCGCAGGCGGCUUUGCAAGACAGAUGUGAAAUCCCCGGGCUCAACCUGGGAACUGCAUUUGUGACUGCAAGGCUAGAGUACGGUAGAGGGGGAUGGAAUUCCGCGUGUAGCAGUGAAAUGCGUAGAUAUGCGGAGGAACACCAAUGGCGAAGGCAAUCCCCUGGACCUGUACUGACGCUCAUGCACGAAAGCGUGGGGAGCAAACAGGAUUAGAUACCCGCGUAGUCCCUGUCUCUUAUAC